GAACCUUACCUGGGCUUGAACCGCACAGGACCAGCUUCAGAAAUGGAGCCUUCCCGCAAGGGACCUGUGUAGAGGUGCUGCAUGGCUGUCGUCAGCUCGUGCCGUGAGGUGUUGGGUUAAGUCCCGCAACGAGCGCAACCCUUACUCAUAGUUGCUACCCGCAAGGGAGAACUCUAUGAGGACUGCUCCGGAUAACGGAGAGGAAGGUGGGGAUGAGGUCAAGUCAGCAUGGCCUUUAUGUCCAGGGCUACACACGUGUUACAAUGCGCGCCACAAAGCGUUGCAAACCCGCGAGGGGGAGCUAAUCGCAAAAAAGCGCGCUCAGUUCGGAUUGCAGUCUGCAACUCGACUGCAUGAAGCCGGAAUCGCUAGUAUUGGCGCAUCAGAACGGCGCCGUGAAUACGUUCCCGGGCCUUGUCACACCGA
RNAcentral lists this ribosomal RNA (426 nucleotides) under uncultured soil bacterium. RNAcentral's name for it is "bacterial SSU rRNA". It matches the Rfam family "Bacterial small subunit ribosomal RNA", at positions 966 to 1393 of the family's 1533-position model. The record is from RNAcentral.